This 65-nucleotide transfer RNA is filed under the name Duplodicodrilus acinctus. RNAcentral describes it as "tRNA-Thr". Lineage: Eukaryota; Metazoa; Annelida; Clitellata; Crassiclitellata; Megascolecidae. The record is from RNAcentral.
GAAUUGAAAGCUAACACCAUAAGCAGCGACCUUGUAAGUCGAAGAUAGAGAAUACUCUCAAUUCU